AUACGGAGGAUGCAAGCGUUAUCCGGAUUUAUUGGGUUUAAAGGGUGCGUAGGCGGUUUGCUAAGCGGGAGGUGAAAUGCCGGCGCUCAACGUCGGAAGUGCCUCCCGAACUGGUGGACUUGAAUGACUCUGCCGUGGGAGGAAUGGGUAGUGUAGCGGUGAAAUGCUUAGAGAUUACACAGAACACCGAUUGCGAAGGCAUCUCACGAAGGGUUGAUUGACGCUGAGGCACGAAAGCGUGGGGAUCAAACAGGAUUAGAUACCCUGGUAGUCCACGCAGUAAACGAUGAUUACUAGCUGUUUGCGAUACAAUGUAAGCGGCUGAGCGAAAGCGUUAAGUAAUCCACCUGGGGAGUACGUUCGCAAGAAUGAAACUCAAAUGAAUUGACGGGG
RNAcentral lists this ribosomal RNA (393 nucleotides) under uncultured bacterium. Its description in RNAcentral is "partial 16S ribosomal RNA". It matches the Rfam family "Bacterial small subunit ribosomal RNA", at positions 523 to 918 of the family's 1533-position model. The record is from RNAcentral.